RNAcentral lists this ribosomal RNA (508 nucleotides) under uncultured bacterium. RNAcentral's name for it is "partial 16S ribosomal RNA". The stretch from base 15 to 368 matches the Rfam family "Bacterial small subunit ribosomal RNA", at positions 42 to 397 of the family's 1533-position model. The record is from RNAcentral.
GACGAACGCUGGCGGCGUGCUUAACACAUGCCAGUCGAACGGAAAGGCCCUGCUUUUGUGGGGUGCUCGAGUGGCGAACGGGUGAGUAACACGUGAGUAACCUGCCCUUGACUUUGGGAUAACUUCAGGAAACUGGGGCUAAUACCGGAUAGGAGCUCCUGCUGCAUGGUGGGGGUUGGAAAGUUUCGGCGGUUGGGGAUGGACUCGCGGCUUAUCAGCUUGUUGGUGGGGUAGUGGCUUACCAAGGCUUUGACGGGUAGCCGGCCUGAGAGGGUGACCGGCAACAAUGGGCUGGAGAUGCGGACCAGACUGGGAGGGGGGGAAGCGGUGGGGAAUAUGGAAGAAUGAGCGGAGGGCUGAGGCAGCGCGGAGGCGGGCGGGAGGAGGGCCUGAGUGGUGUACACCGUGUGGGCGUGGGACGAGGGGGGGGGGAAGGUAAGGGGUAAAGAAGCACGGGAGAACGACGGGCGAGAAGCGGGGGUAAUGGUCGGAAGAGAUACGGAUGAAC